GUGGACUGCAGAAGUAUUUAAAUGAGCAAGGUUUUAAUAUUGUUGGAUAUGGCUGCAGUCCACUCUGGAGCAAAUAUUUAGUAACUACACCGGAGCCAGGAGCAAGACUUGUUUUAACCCAUGGUUUAACAUUUAGACCCAGGUCGCAAGCCUUUUUUGCAACAAGGGCUGCUCCUAGCAUAACACUGGGAUUUGAUGUAUUAGUGCAACUUGUGAUAGCGGCAAUAACAACACUUCCAUGCUUGAGCUCUGCAUGUUGUCCGUGGAAAGAAAAUUUUACCACUUUUUCCUGCGCAUCUUUCGGCACAGCAAAUCCCUUGAAUCCAACCUUGUUAUCAAGGCAAGAGUGCCAAUCAGACUUCAUUUCUUUCAAAGGCACACGGUCAUGAGGUCUUUUUGGCCCCGACACACAAGGCUCAACUUCAGCAAGGUCUAGGUACAAACAAGAAGAGUACACUUUCUCAUGUUGAGGCUCAUUAUAGUCGACAAACAUAUUAUUUGCACGCAGAUAUGCUUCGAUCAUUGACACUGUUUCGUCACUUCUCCCUGUUAAUUUCAGAUACUGCAAAGUAACAUGAUCUACAGGGAAGAAACCCAUUGUUGCACCAUAUUCAGGAGACAUGUUGGCAAUGGUGGCCCUGUCAGCCAACGAUAGUUCACCCAUUCCAUCACCAUAGAACUCAACAAACUUUCCAACAACACCAUGCUUCCUCAGC
This 716-nucleotide unclassified non-coding RNA is filed under the name Hevea brasiliensis (rubber tree). The record is from RNAcentral. Lineage: Eukaryota; Viridiplantae; Streptophyta; Magnoliopsida; Malpighiales; Euphorbiaceae.